CAAACGGCUCUUUUCAGAGCCACCACCGGUCUCAGAAGAGAGCUG
Molecule: non-coding RNA, 45 nt
Organism: Myotis davidii
Lineage: Eukaryota; Metazoa; Chordata; Mammalia; Chiroptera; Vespertilionidae
Source: Rfam